UAAAUGCGGAAGAGAUAAGUGCUGAAAGCAUCUAAGCACGAAACUUGCCCCGAGAUGAGUUCUCCCUGACUCCUUGAGAGUCCUGAAGGAACGUUGAAGACGACGACGUUGAUAGGCCGGGUGUGUAAGCGCAGCGAUGCGUUGAGCUAACCGGUACUAAUGAACCGUGAGGCUUAACCUU
This 181-nucleotide ribosomal RNA is filed under the name Escherichia coli. RNAcentral's name for it is "partial 23S ribosomal RNA". It matches the Rfam family "Bacterial large subunit ribosomal RNA", at positions 2750 to 2925 of the family's 2925-position model. The record is from RNAcentral. Lineage: Bacteria; Pseudomonadati; Pseudomonadota; Gammaproteobacteria; Enterobacterales; Enterobacteriaceae.